RNAcentral lists this ribosomal RNA (2870 nucleotides) under Fusarium pseudograminearum CS5834. RNAcentral's name for it is "bacterial LSU rRNA". The stretch from base 339 to 2870 matches the Rfam family "Bacterial large subunit ribosomal RNA", at positions 1 to 2518 of the family's 2925-position model. The record is from RNAcentral. Lineage: Eukaryota; Fungi; Ascomycota; Sordariomycetes; Hypocreales; Nectriaceae.
ACUAAAAUACUGCAUGAGGCACGCCACCCCCCUUCGGCGGGAUCAGAAAUCAGUAGACUUCGUUAGGGAUAUGAAGCUGCUGGUAGAAAAAAAGCUAUUUUUUUUUUACCGCUCGCUUUGGAUAUAUAAAGUAUAAAUGUAAUUUAGGUGCGCCAGCGUUUCGCUAGCUGCUCCUAAAUUAUAUAAGUAUAGAAAGAAAUUAUUGUAGAAUUUAAGCUACAUAUUAAAGAGAUUUAUUUAUAUAAAUAGGCUUGCUAGCUGAUUGUAUAUAUAUGCUGGCCGUAUUUCAUAGCAAGCUCGCUUUUAAUAGGCAACCAGUAAUAUGAGCAAUUCUUUACCUACAAGCCUAUAAUUAUAUUAACUCUAAGAGAAAUCUAAUAAUAAACGGAGUGAAUUGAAAUAUCUUAUUAACUUCAGGAAAAGAAAUCAAAAGAGAUUCUAUGAUUAGCGUGAGCUAAAAUAGAGUAGCCUAGAAAGUCAAAUGGUGGAUAAACUGUUUAAAUUUAAUGGGGAACCUUCCUCAAAGGCUAAAUAUAAUAUGUAAGCGAUAGUGGAAAGUACCGUGAGGGAACCAAAACAAAAACAGUGAUUUUAUAAGCAGUUCGGAAAAAUAAAAAAGUUAGAACGUACCUUUUGCAUAAUGGGUCACCAAGUUAACAUUAGAUGCGAGAUUCUACGUAGUUAAACCGAGCGUUAAAAUAACGGUAAGUGUCUAAAGUUAGACCCGAAGCCUGGUGAUUUUACCAUAAUCAGGAUUAUAAAAGUCCGAACGGAAUAUUGUAGCAUAAAUAUCCGAAGAAUUAUGGUAGGUGUAGUGAAAGACAAUACUGACCAGGAUAGCUGGUUUUCUGCGAAACCUAUAACAGUAGGCAAUUUAAGUAUAAUAUCUUAGCAGGUACAGAAUUUAAUCUCAGACAAGACAUAAGGCUUAACUUGUUAACAAGUUAAGCCCAUGUUUUAUUUUGUACAAAUUGGGGGAUCAUGAAGAUUUUAUCAGUGAGUAUGUAGACUCGGAAUGGCAAAGAUAUAUCUUAAAUCAUCAGACAUAGAAUGAUAAGGUUGUAUGUCAAAAGGGAAACAGCCCAGAACAAGAGUUAAGGUUCCUAAAUUAUUAGUUGAGUGAAAUUAAGAAGGUUUUUAUUAAAGUCGACAAGGAGAUAGGCUUAGAAGCAGCCAUAAUUUUAUGACCUCGUAACAGAGCGCUUGUUAAGUUUUAAAAGCAUCGAAAAUUUAUCGGAUCUAAACAAUAUACCGAAACCUUGUCCAUAUUAUUUUAUAAUUAAUAGUCUCAGCAAGCUCGGACUAUACAAUUAUAAUUAAAUGGGGUAGCAGAACGUUGAGCUAAAUUAAGAUUUUUAUUUUUUAAAUGAAAUUAUAAUAAUUUAACUCAAGUGAUAAUGGUGACAUGAGUAACUAAAAGAAAAUUUUCCGCCUAAAGCUUAUGGAUGUAAUUAAGUAACGGCCUCUAAGUUUAUGGAAUCAAAAGAUUAAAACGAUGAGACAAUCUUUCAUACUAAGGACGACAUUUUAAGUGCAAAAUGUACUGGAAAAAUAGUAAUAAGUUUAAGCUAUGGCUAGAACUAGCUAUAGCUGUAAAUGGAAAGUAACCGUACCUAGAAUCUGAAACAAGUAAGCUAGUAGAGAAUACGAAGGCGUAAAUGAGCUAACAAUCAUAAAGGAACUCGGCAAAUUGACUACCGUAACUUCGGGAUAAGGAGAGCUCAUUAUUCUUGAUUAAUAUCAGGUAAAGAGGAAGAAGCAUGAAAUAGUGUUGUACGACUGUUUAAUUAAAACACAGCACUUUGCUGAAAGAUUAAAAAUCUAAGUAUAGAGUGUGAUGUCUGCCCGGUGCCGGCUGGUUAACAGAUAUAAUUAAAUAUACUAAUAUUUGAUGUAGACGGAAACCCCGGUUAAAGGCGGCCUUAACGUGAGGGUCCUAAGGUAGCGAAAUGCCUUGGCCGUUAAAUGCGGUCUUGCAUGAAUGAUGUAACGAUACAACAGCUGUCUCUAUGAUUGACUCAGUGAAAUUGGAAUAGCUGUGCAGAUACAGUUUACCUCUAGUUAGACGAGAAGACCCUAUGCAGCUUUACUGUCACUAAUUAUAGAGUAUGAUAAACAAUUUUCAGUUUAUAAGGUAAUUGACGGCCGGCUUGCUUAGCAAGCUGGCUCUAUGACAAUGAGAAUCCUUUAUUUUUUUUUCAUAUGAAUGAAUUGGUUUAGGACGAGCUUAAGCUCGUAGUAAAUCAACCUAAUUCAGCUUAUUUUCCUUUCUGCUGUAAGCGCAUAAUGAUAGAUUAUACUUAAAUUUGGAUUUAUGCCUGCAGAAAUAGAUAAGUACCCUUGGUUAAGGAACUAUCGCUAGGGGACAGUUUAUGUGGGGCACAGACCCUGUAAAGAGUAAACAGGAGUGUCUAAUAAUUUAUAAUUAUUUUGUUUGCGAUUUAAGGUAGUAGAACUAUUUUUAAUCAUAUAAAAUUAUUUAUAUGUACAUUCGUUGUAUAUAUAUUUAAAAAAAGGUAGGAUUUUCACUAUAUAGAAAUUAGAGAUAAUAAAAAUAUUAAGUAGUAGCUGCUGAGUCCUAAUCCCGCCGAAGGGGGGGAUAUGGACUACUAUGUAUUUCAUAGCAAGCUCGCACUAAUAUUUUUUAACUAUUAAGACUGGCUAUCUAGCUAUGCUCUAAUAGUUAUGUUUUAAUUAUCUAAAAAGCUCAACGGCUAAAUCUUGCCUUACUGUUUGAUUAUCAACAAAUCUUACAGUUGCGUAAGCAGGGCAUAGGAUCACAAGAUGCAACAAGGAAAGAUCUUGGAUUAUUGGAAAAGCUACGCUAGGGAUGUUUGUCCUUUAAUAUUUUAUUUCACUGUGGUAUGGGU